UAUGAUCUCAUAGGAACUUUUUGAUCGUCAAACAGAUGAUUAAUGAGUUAGAACUCUUAGGCUCUGUUCGUUUGAACAGAUUUUACUGUUCAAACGAAUUGGAGAGCGAGGAAAUGAAAAGCAACUGUGUUCGCAUUAACAGAUUUGGAAGGAAUGAUUUUUGCUUAUUUGCGGGAUGAGGUGUUUUUUCUCAUCCCUUGUAAUGUUAAGAGAUUUUAGAGUAAUUGUAGUAAAAAAUCUUUUUUAUCCCUGAUACAAACGCACAAUUAUUCCUCCACUUUCCUCCUGCCCACCUCUCUUUCCUCCACAUGUUGAUAUUUAUCCAAACAGCAGCCCCCAACUUUUCUUCAUCUCCUUAUUUCUAUUUCUUCAGCUCCUAAUUUUUAUUAUUCAAAUACAAUUUUUUACUUUAUUUCCCUUCUACUUUCAUUUAUUAUAUAUCUUUUCCUUGUAUACUUUAAUAAUAAUAAUAAUAAUUAAGGUUAAUU
Molecule: long non-coding RNA, 488 nt
Filed under: Vigna radiata
Lineage: Eukaryota; Viridiplantae; Streptophyta; Magnoliopsida; Fabales; Fabaceae
Description: long non-coding RNA (VRAD_LNC010503)
Source: RNAcentral